RNAcentral lists this long non-coding RNA (2390 nucleotides) under Salvia miltiorrhiza (redroot sage). RNAcentral describes it as "long non-coding RNA (SMIL_LNC004580)". Lineage: Eukaryota; Viridiplantae; Streptophyta; Magnoliopsida; Lamiales; Lamiaceae. The record is from RNAcentral.
AAAAAACUUUAGUACUUGACUAUAUUCAUCUCCACAGCUCUUCAAGAAUAAGAAGGGUAUAUAUAAUAUGAUGUUAGCCAUGUGUUGGAGGAAUAAAAAUCUGGCACAUUUCAUUUUCACCCUCUUUUCUUUUGUUUUCACUCACUAAUUAGAAUGUGUUUGAAAACAACAAGUCCCACUAUAAAUGAGCUACUUCCUUUGAUGAUAUUCUUGUUUCCUUUAAAGUAAAAAGAGAUGGAUUUUUGGAGAGGUGGGUAUGAGAAGCUUGAGAAGAGAAGGAGGCCAAUUGCAAUUAGUAGAAGAGGAAAAGGGGUGAAGCUAAGGCGAUGUACAAGGAAGCUCAUGUCUAUGCUGUCAACAAAGAUUGGUAGGAAAUAUGUGAAUUUUGUGAAAAGAAUGAAGAUGGAGGAAGCAUCUCCUGCUAUUGUCUUCUCCUUCCACUGGGGUCUUCCAGUCCUUUCCCACACCAACAAAAUUUCCUUCUCCACUUUACUCACAUAAUUAACAUUCUUGUAAGUUUCUAUCAUUCUUGUAACUUUCUUCUACUUAAUUAGUGCUUUGCAAGCUCAUCAUAUGAUUUACUACUAUACUUUUAUUUAAUUCAUAUACAUAAGUUCACAUUCAUUGGGGAUGAUUAUCGAGAUAACGAGUAGACAAUCUUCCAAGUAUGAAGUAUGGUUUAAUUACAAGUCUUCCAAGAAAAGGAAAAGAAUUGAAGUAUAAAAAUGGAUCGAGAUUAGAAACUAAUUAAUACUACCAAGGAUCAACAAAUGAGAAUGAUAACUUGGGAAUUACUACUCAUCGAGUUUAGAGAAGAAAUCCAGAUGAAUGAAAUAGCAAAAUGAAGUAUAUACAAACACAGCCUUUGAAUUGAGAGAAUAUUGCUUCUCUUGAAUAUAAAACUUAAGGUAGGUAGGUAGGUAGAGGUAGGUUGAUGGAAAUUAAUAUCGAGGGAGGCCAGCAAGACCACCCUUGUAGCGAAUCCAUUCAUGAAGAGCACAUAGGAAUCCUUGAGCCUCCGCUUUGAGCCAAAAAUAUUCCCAAUCUUCAUCACUGAAUCAUUCUUCUUCUUCUUCUUCUUCCUCGACUCUGUCCGAAGCUUUAUUAUGGCCCCGUGAGCGUGACUAGUGUUGUCGUCCUCCUCCUUGAUGGUCUCCAGCUUCAUCUUCAGUAUGUCCUCCACUUCCAUUCUUGACUCCGUCCUCGUCACCUUCUUCUUCAUUCUGCAAGGCAUGCCCCACCGCAUUCUUGCUGGCUCGACUCAAAAAAAGCUCGUUGCAUCAGACUUGCAUUUUCAACAAAUUUAUGCAGAUCGAUUGGGCUUAUUUAUAAUGAGUAGACUUUUGGGAUGAAACAGGAUGUGUGUAGUAGUUGGAAAAGGUGAGUGUCAAUAGACUAGUUCUAACUUUUUUUCUUUUUUGCUCUUUACAACUUGACUCGAUCAUUGCAAACUCUUUCUUGUUUAACUAUUCAAAGCUUUAUUAUUUAUUAUACACCUGACAUCAUCUAGGAUUAGAUUAUAGAUGCCACUUUGCUUUAACAAUUUGGCUUGCUGCGAAUUUUAUGAUUCCUUCAAAACUGCCUUCAGCUUAUAAUACUUCCAUAAUUCGAGUUAUUGAUUAAUCAUGCAAUGACAAGAGGCACACUCCCAUGCAUCUACAUCCAUAUUAAUUAAAUUUUGAAUAUAUUUAAUAAACUAUAAUUAAAAUUAAUAAAUUAUAAUUGAAAUUAAUAAACCCAAAAAGGUUAAUCAACCCUACUUAGAUUAAUUUAUUACUCCCUCCGUCCCAUGAAUCUUGACACGUUUGGUUUCGACAUUGGAAUUAAGGAAUUAUAGAUUAGUGUUGUAAGGGCGUGUUUGAUAUUGGCUAAUACACUGUAUUAGCUAAUUUAGUACAGAUCAGUCUAGUGUUUGAUAUUAUUUAGUAAUAAUGCGGAUGACCCGGUUUAAUCCCACGACCCAAUAUUAUUAAUCCAGAUUUCUUAGGAUUAAUAAUACCACCUCCCCCUAGGAUUAACUUAAACUAGGAUAUUCUGUAUUUAGCCAUGAUAGCAAACACCAACUCAGUAUUAAUAAUAUGUCAUUAUCCACGCUAAAUAUUCUGGUUACAAAUUAUCCUACAUAGAGCCGAGCCGAAUAGCUGGAUGACCUGGCGGCGGCGGCGCACUCGGAGAAGCAACGACUGGAGGUGAGGCGGCGGCACGGCUCAAUCUGGUGUGGAGGUGAGGCGGUGGCGUAGAGGAAGGCUCACCGCUCUGGAACAGAGCACGUCUCGCCGGGAGGCUGGAGGCGCGGCUCGCUCUGGAAUGGAGCGCAUCUUGCUGGGAGGCUUGAGGCGCGGCGGUAAGGGAGGGCGGCUCGUCGGUCUGGAAUGGAGUGCGUCUCGCCG